This is a long non-coding RNA of Catharus ustulatus (Swainson's thrush), 232 nucleotides long. RefSeq lists it as uncharacterized. The record is from RefSeq and is a predicted model, not a curated record. Lineage: Eukaryota; Metazoa; Chordata; Aves; Passeriformes; Turdidae. The transcript is spliced from 4 exons.
UGGGCGUGGCCUCGGCCGUUGCCGCGAUGUCGGCGCUGCCCGGGCGGUUCCUGGCGCUGGUGGCGCACCUGGGGAUGGUGCUGAGGAUGGGAGGGGAUCCGCCCAAAGAUCCCACAGGGGAACUGGAACCGGGGUUUUGGGGAGCCCUCGGGGGGUCCCUGGCUCUGCUCGGCCUCGAAUUCCUGGGGCUGCUCUCGGGGGUCUCCACGUUCCACCCGGGCCAGACCCUGGC